GAGUUUGAUCCUGGCUCAGGACGAACGCUGAGCGGCGUGCUUAACACACUCGCUUGUCGAACGGAAAGGCCCUGCUUUUGUGGGGUGCUCGAGUGGCGAACGGGUGAGUAACACGUGAGUAACCUGCCCUUGACUUUGGGAUAACUUCAGGAAACUGGGGCUAAUACCGGAUAGGAGCUCCUGCUGCAUGGUGGGGGUUGGAAAGUUUCGGCGGUUGGGGAUGGACUCGCGGCUUAUCAGCUUGUUGGUGGGGUAGUGGCUUACCAAGGCUUUGACGGGUAGCCGGCCUGAGAGGGUGACCGGCCACAUUGGGACUGAGAUACGGCCCAGACUCCUACGGGAGGCAGCAGUGGGGAAUAUUGCACAAUGGGCGGAAGCCUGAUGCAGCAACGCCGCGUGCGGGAUGACGGCCUUCGGGUUGUAAACCGCUUUCGCCUGUGACGAAGCGUGAGUGACGGUAAUGGGUAAAGAAGCACCGGCUAACUACGUGCCAGCAGCCGCGGUGAUACGUAGGGUGCGAGCGUUGUCCGGAUUUAUUGGGCGUAAAGGGCUCGUAGGUGGUUGAUCGCGUCGGAAGUGUAAUCUUGGGGCUUAACCCUGAGCGUGCUUUCGAUACGGGUUGACUUGAGGAAGGUAGGGGAGAAUGGAAUUCCUGGUGGAGCGGUGGAAUGCGCAGAUAUCAGGAGGAACACCAGUGGCGAAGGCGGUUCUCUGGGCCUUUCCUGACGCUGAGGAGCGAAAGCGUGGGGAGCGAACAGGCUUAGAUACCCUGGUAGUCCACGCUGUAAACGGUGGGUACUAGGUGUGGAGUCCAUUCCACGGGUUCCGCGCCGUAGCUUACGCUUUUAGUACCCCGCCUGGGGGAGUACGGCCGCAAGGGCUAAACUCAAAGGAAUUGACGGGGCCCCGCACAAGCGGCGGAGCAUGCGGAUUAAUUCGAUGCAACGCGUAGAACCUUACCUGGGUUUGACAUGGAUCGGGAGUGCUCAGAGAUGGGUGUGCCUCUUUUGGGGUCGGUUCACAGGUGGUGCAUGGCUGUCGUCAGCUCGUGUCGUGAGAUGUUGGGUUAAGUCCCGCAACGAGCGCAACCCUUGUUCACUGUUGCCAGCACGUUAUGGUGGGGACUCAGUGGAGACCGCCGGGGUCAACUCGGAGGAAGGUGGGGAUGACGUCAAGUCAUCAUGCCCCUUAUGUCCAGGGCUUCACGCAUGCUACAAUGGCUGGUACAGAGAGUGGCGAGCCUGUGAGGGUGAGCGAAUCUCGGAAAGCCGGUCUCAGUUCGGAUUGGGGUCUGCAACUCGACCUCAUGAAGUCGGAGUCGCUAGUAAUCGCAGAUCAGCAACGCUGCGGUGAAUACGUUCCCGGGGCUUGUACACACCGCCCGUCAAGUCAUGAAAGUUGGUAACACCCGAAGCCGGUGGCCUAACCGUUGUGGGGGAGCGGUCGAAGGUGGGACUGGUGAUUAGGACUAAGUCGUAACAAGGUAGCC
Molecule: ribosomal RNA, 1489 nt
Filed under: uncultured bacterium
Lineage: Bacteria
Description: 16S ribosomal RNA
Rfam family: Bacterial small subunit ribosomal RNA
Source: RNAcentral